RNAcentral lists this long non-coding RNA (508 nucleotides) under Papio anubis (olive baboon). RNAcentral's name for it is "lncRNA (ENSPANG00000047503.1)". Lineage: Eukaryota; Metazoa; Chordata; Mammalia; Primates; Cercopithecidae. The record is from RNAcentral.
AUGAGUGUUUAUCACCCAAGGAAUUUGCAUCCUCUUCUGAUAAAAAGGAUUACUUGUGAAAUAAACCACUUGGAUGUAAAUCUUUGGCUGAGUCUGUUUCACAGAGUAACCAACCAAAGGCUGAUAUUACUGAGUUCUGACAAAUAGUAAACGAAAUGACACAUCAUUUUUGCUCUAAGAUAAUUAAGAGCCAGUGUGCCUCGUCCAUCUCUUUUCUCCUUUGACAGCAACUUUGGAGGCCAUGUUUUAGAAGCAUCCUGUGUUCUUGGGUCGUCAUGUGAUGGAACAUCGCUCUGGAGAACCAAUUUACCUCCUUAAGACUUUGGUGAAUGAUAAAUAAACCUUUAUUAUGGGAAGCCACUGAUGUACCAAGUUGUUUUUGUUAUUUACUAUAGGGUAGCCUAGCCUAUUCUUGAAAGUAAGAGCCUUUUAUUUAUAUUUAUAUAUUAAUAUUUUAUCCCCCCCCACUAGAUUUUAAAAAGUAUGCAUGUGACUUGUAUAACUUUAU